RNAcentral lists this ribosomal RNA (1190 nucleotides) under Peptoniphilus sp. RNAcentral's name for it is "bacterial SSU rRNA". It matches the Rfam family "Bacterial small subunit ribosomal RNA", at positions 93 to 1309 of the family's 1533-position model. The record is from RNAcentral. Lineage: Bacteria; Bacillati; Bacillota; Tissierellia; Tissierellales; Peptoniphilaceae.
UAGCGGCGGACGGGUGAGUAACACGUGAGUAACCUGCCUUAGACAUUGGGAUAGCCUCGGGAAACCGGGAUUAAUACCAAAUAAAAUCAUAAUGACACAUGUCAUAACGAUCAAAACUCCGGUGGUCUAAGAUGGACUCGCGUCCCAUUAGCUAGUUGGUAGAGUAAAAGCCUACCAAGGCGACGAUGGGUAGCCGGCCUGAGAGGGUGAACGGCCACAUUGGAACUGAGAAACGGUCCAAACUCCUACGGGAGGCAGCAGUGGGGAAUAUUGCACAAUGGAGGGAACUCUGAUGCAGCGACGCCGCGUGAACGAAGAAGGCUUUCGAGUCGUAAAGUUCUUUUAUAUGGGAAGAUAAUGACGGUACCAUAAGAAAAAGCCCCGGCUAACUACGUGCCAGCAGCCGCGGUAAUACGUAGGGGGCUAGCGUUGUCCGGAAUCACUGGGCGUAAAGGGUUCGCAGGCGGAAAUGCAAGUCAGAUGUAAAAGGCAGUAGCUUAACUACUGUAAGCAUUUGAAACUGCAUAUCUUGAGAAGAGUAGAGGUAAGUGGAAUUUUUAGUGUAGCGGUGAAAUGCGUAGAUAUUAAAAAGAAUACCGGUGGCGAAGGCGACUUACUGGGCUCAUUCUGACGCUGAGGAACGAAAGCGUGGGUAGCAAACAGGAUUAGAUACCCUGGUAGUCCACGCUGUAAACGAUGAGUGCUAGGUGUCGGCGAAUGUCGGUGCCGCAGUUAACACAAUAAGCACUCCGCCUGGGGAGUACGUGCGCAAGCAUGAAACUCAAAGGAAUUGACGGGGACCCGCACAAGCAGCGGAGCAUGUGGUUUAAUUCGAAGCAACGCGAAGAACCUUACCAGGGCUUGACAUACUGAGGACGUACUUAGAGAUAAGUAUACUUCUUCGGAAGCCUCAAUACAGGUGGUGCAUGGUUGUCGUCAGCUCGUGUCGUGAGAUGUUGGGUUAAGUCCCGCAACGAGCGCAACCCCUAUCUUUAGUUGCCAGCAUAUAAGAUGGGAACUCUAAAGAGACUGCCGAUGAUAAAUCGGAGGAAGGUGGGGAUGACGUCAAAUCAUCAUGCCCUAUAUGCCCUGGGCUACACACGUGCUACAAUGGAAGGUACAAAGGGAAGCAACAGAGUGAUCUCAAGCAAACCUCAAAAAGCCUUUCCCAGUUCGGAUUGUACUCUGCA